This 1875-nucleotide ribosomal RNA is filed under the name Vibrio cholerae. RNAcentral's name for it is "partial 23S ribosomal RNA". It matches the Rfam family "Bacterial large subunit ribosomal RNA", at positions 341 to 2213 of the family's 2925-position model. Lineage: Bacteria; Pseudomonadati; Pseudomonadota; Gammaproteobacteria; Vibrionales; Vibrionaceae. The record is from RNAcentral.
GCUGGAAAGCUUGGCGAUACAGGGUGAUAGCCCCGUAACCGACGCUUCAUCGAGCGUGAAAUCGAGUAGGGCGGGACACGUGAUAUCCUGUCUGAAUAUGGGGGGACCAUCCUCCAAGGCUAAAUACUCCUGACUGACCGAUAGUGAACCAGUACCGUGAGGGAAAGGCGAAAAGAACCCCUGUGAGGGGAGUGAAAUAGAACCUGAAACCGUGUACGUACAAGCAGUAGGAGCACCUUCGUGGUGUGACUGCGUACCUUUUGUAUAAUGGGUCAGCGACUUAUAUUCAGUGGCAAGGUUAACCGUAUAGGGGAGCCGUAGCGAAAGCGAGUCUUAACUGGGCGCUCAGUCUCUGGAUAUAGACCCGAAACCGGGUGAUCUAGCCAUGGGCAGGUUGAAGGUUGAGUAACAUCAACUGGAGGACCGAACCGACUAAUGUUGAAAAAUUAGCGGAUGACUUGUGGCUAGGGGUGAAAGGCCAAUCAAACUCGGAGAUAGCUGGUUCUCCCCGAAAGCUAUUUAGGUAGCGCCUCGGACGAAUACUACUGGGGGUAGAGCACUGUUAAGGCUAGGGGGUCAUCCCGACUUACCAACCCUUUGCAAACUCCGAAUACCAGUAAGUACUAUCCGGGAGACACACGGCGGGUGCUAACGUCCGUCGUGGAGAGGGAAACAACCCAGACCGCCAGCUAAGGUCCCAAAGUAUUGCUAAGUGGGAAACGAUGUGGGAAGGCUCAGACAGCUAGGAUGUUGGCUUAGAAGCAGCCAUCAUUUAAAGAAAGCGUAAUAGCUCACUAGUCGAGUCGGCCUGCGCGGAAGAUGUAACGGGGCUAAGCAAUACACCGAAGCUGCGGCAAUAUCUUUUAGAUAUUGGGUAGGGGAGCGUUCUGUAAGCCGUUGAAGGUGAAUCGUAAGGUUUGCUGGAGGUAUCAGAAGUGCGAAUGCUGACAUGAGUAACGACAAAGGGGGUGAAAAACCUCCUCGCCGGAAGACCAAGGGUUCCUGUCCAACGUUAAUCGGGGCAGGGUGAGUCGACCCCUAAGGUGAGGCCGAAAGGCGUAAUCGAUGGGAAACGGGUUAAUAUUCCCGUACUUCUGACUAUUGCGAUGGGGGGACGGAGAAGGCUAGGUGGGCCAGGCGACGGUUGUCCUGGUUCAAGUGCGUAGGCUUGAGAGUUAGGUAAAUCCGGCUCUCUCUAAGGCUGAGACACGACGUCGAGCUGCUACGGCAGUGAAGUCAUUGAUGCCAUGCUUCCAGGAAAAGCCUCUAAGCUUCAGAUAGUCAGGAAUCGUACCCCAAACCGACACAGGUGGUCGGGUAGAGAAUACCAAGGCGCUUGAGAGAACUCGGGUGAAGGAACUAGGCAAAAUGGUACCGUAACUUCGGGAGAAGGUACGCUCUUGAUGGUGAAGUCCCUCGCGGAUGGAGCUGACGAGAGUCGCAGAUACCAGGUGGCUGCAACUGUUUAUUAAAAACACAGCACUGUGCAAAAUCGCAAGAUGACGUAUACGGUGUGACGCCUGCCCGGUGCCGGAAGGUUAAUUGAUGGGGUUAGCGCAAGCGAAGCUCUUGAUCGAAGCCCCGGUAAACGGCGGCCGUAACUAUAACGGUCCUAAGGUAGCGAAAUUCCUUGUCGGGUAAGUUCCGACCUGCACGAAUGGCGUAAUGAUGGCCACGCUGUCUCCACCCGAGACUCAGUGAAAUUGAAAUCGCUGUGAAGAUGCAGUGUACCCGCGGCUAGACGGAAAGACCCCGUGAACCUUUACUACAGCUUGGCACUGAACAUUGAACCUACAUGUGUAGGAUAGGUGGGAGGCUAUGAAGACGUGACGCCAGUUGCGUUGGAGCCGUCCUUGAAAUACCACCCUUGUAUGU